CAGUAACGGCGAGUGAAGCGGCAACAGCUCAAAUUUGAAAUCUGGCUCUCGGGCCCGAGUUGUAAUUUGUAGAGGAUGCUUUUGGUGAGGUGCCUUCCGAGUUCCCUGGAACGGGACGCCAUAGAGGGUGAGAGCCCCGUCUGGUUGGACGCCGAACCUCUGUAAAGCUCCUUCGACGAGUCGAGUAGUUUGGGAAUGCUGCUCUAAAUGGGAGGUAUAUGUCUUCUAAAGCUAAAUACCGGCCAGAGACCGAUAGCGCACAAGUAGAGUGAUCGAAAGAUGAAAAGAACUUUGAAAAGAGAGUUAAACAGUACGUGAAAUUGUUGAAAGGGAAGCGCUUGUGACCAGACUUGGGCUUGGUUGAUCAUCCGGGGUUCUCCCCGGUGCACUCUUCCGGCCCAGGCCAGCAUCAGUUCGCCCUGGGGGACAAAGGCAUCGGGAACGUGGCUCUCUCCGGGGAGUGUUAUAGCCCGUUGCGUAAUACCCUGUGGCGGACUGAGGUUCGCGCAUUCGCAAGGAUGCUGGCGUAAUGGUCAUCAGUGACCCGUCUUGAAACACGGACCAAGGAGUCGUCUUCGUAUGCGAGUGUUCGGGUGUCAAACCCCUACGCGAAAUGAAAGUGAACGCAGGUGAGAGCUUCGGCGCAUCAUCGACCGAUCCUGAUGUUUUCGGAUGGAUUUGAGUAAGAGCAUACGGGGCCGGACCCGAAAGAAGGUGAACUAUGCCUGUGUAGGGUGAAGCCAGAGGAAACUCUGGUGGAGGCUCGCAGCGGUUCUGACGUGCAAAUCGAUCGUCAAACAUGGGCAUGGGGGCGAAAGACUAAUCGAACCUUCUAGUAGCUGGUUUCCGCCGAAGUUUCCCUCAGGAUAGCAGUGUUGUACUCAGUUUUAUGAGGUAAAGCGAAUGAUUAGGGACUCGGGGGCGCUAUUUAGCCUUCAUCCAUUCUCAAACUUUAAAUAUGUAAGAAGCCCUUGUUGCUUAAUUGAACGUGGGCAUUCGAAUGAAUCAACACUAGUGGGCCAUUUUUG
Molecule: ribosomal RNA, 1028 nt
Filed under: Hypocreales sp. DIS 106g
Lineage: Eukaryota; Fungi; Ascomycota; Sordariomycetes; Hypocreales
Description: LSU rRNA
Rfam family: Eukaryotic large subunit ribosomal RNA
Source: RNAcentral